Molecule: transfer RNA, 75 nt
Filed under: Clostridia bacterium
Lineage: Bacteria; Bacillati; Bacillota; Clostridia
Description: tRNA-Gln
Rfam family: tRNA
About the family: Transfer RNA (tRNA) molecules are approximately 80 nucleotides in length. Their secondary structure includes four short double-helical elements and three loops (D, anti-codon, and T loops). Further hydrogen bonds mediate the characteristic L-shaped molecular structure. tRNAs have two regions of fundamental functional importance: the anti-codon, which is responsible for specific mRNA codon recognition, and the 3' end, to which the tRNAs corresponding amino acid is attached (by aminoacyl-tRNA synthetases). tRNAs cope with the degeneracy of the genetic code in two manners: having more than one tRNA (with a specific anti-codon) for a particular amino acid; and 'wobble' base-pairing, i.e. permitting non-standard base-pairing at the 3rd anti-codon position.
Source: RNAcentral
UGCGGCAUCGCCAAGCGGUAAGGCAACGGACUCUGACUCCGUCAUCCCUAGGUUCGAAUCCUAGUGCCGCAGCCA